RNAcentral lists this ribosomal RNA (1372 nucleotides) under uncultured bacterium. RNAcentral's name for it is "bacterial SSU rRNA". It matches the Rfam family "Bacterial small subunit ribosomal RNA", at positions 28 to 1381 of the family's 1533-position model. The record is from RNAcentral.
UAUGAACGCUGGCGGCGUGCCUAAUACAUGCAAGUCGAGCGAACGGACGAGAAGCUUGCUUCUCUGAUGUUAGCGGCGGACGGGUGAGUAACACGUGGAUAACCUACCUAUAAGACUGGGAUAACUUCGGGAAACCGGAGCUAAUACCGGAUAAUAUUUUGAACCGCAUGGUUCAAAAGUGAAAGACGGUCUUGCUGUCACUUAUAGAUGGAUCCGCGCUGCAUUAGCUAGUUGGUAAGGUAACGGCUUACCAAGGCAACGAUGCAUAGCCGACCUGAGAGGGUGAUCGGCCACACUGGAACUGAGACACGGUCCAGACUCCUACGGGAGGCAGCAGUAGGGAAUCUUCCGCAAUGGGCGAAAGCCUGACGGAGCAACGCCGCGUGAGUGAUGAAGGUCUUCGGAUCGUAAAACUCUGUUAUUAGGGAAGAACAUAUGUGUAAGUAACUGUGCACAUCUUGGCGGUACCUAAUCAGAAAGCCACGGCUAACUACGUGCCAGCAGCCGCGGUAAUACGUAGGUGGCAAGCGUUAUCCGGAAUUAUUGGGCGUAAAGCGCGCGUAGGCGGUUUUUUAAGUCUGAUGUGAAAGCCCACGGCUCAACCGUGGAGGGUCAUUGGAAACUGGAAAACUUGAGUGCAGAAGAGGAAAGUGGAAUUCCAUGUGUAGCGGUGAAAUGCGCAGAGAUAUGGAGGAACACCAGUGGCGAAGGCGACUUUCUGGUCUGUAACUGACGCUGAUGUGCGAAAGCGUGGGGAUCAAACAGGAUUAGAUACCCUGGUAGUCCACGCCGUAAACGAUGAGUGCUAAGUGUUAGGGGGUUUCCGCCCCUUAGUGCUGCAGCUAACGCAUUAAGCACUCCGCCUGGGGAGUACGACCGCAAGGUUGAAACUCAAAGGAAUUGACGGGGACCCGCACAAGCGGUGGAGCAUGUGGUUUAAUUCGAAGCAACGCGAAGAACCUUACCAAAUCUUGACAUCCUUUGACAACUCUAGAGAUAGAGCUUUCCCCUUCGGGGGACAAAGUGACAGGUGGUGCAUGGUUGUCGUCAGCUCGUGUCGUGAGAUGUUGGGUUAAGUCCCGCAACGAGCGCAACCCUUAAGCUUAGUUGCCAUCAUUAAGUUGGGCACUCUAAGUUGACUGCCGGUGACAAACCGGAGGAAGGUGGGGAUGACGUCAAAUCAUCAUGCCCCUUAUGAUUUGGGCUACACACGUGCUACAAUGGACAAUACAAAGGGCAGCGAAACCGUGAGGUCAAGCAAAUCCCAUAAAGUUGUUCUCAGUUCGGAUUGUAGUCUGCAACUCGACUACAUGAAGCUGGAAUCGCUAGUAAUCGUAGAUCAGCAUGCUACGGUGAAUACGUUCCCGGGUCU